UCGUUCCGACCUGGGCAAUUGGGCUAUCUCAGCUUCAUUCAGGGCAUUCAACUUGCGAGCCAGCGAGUAAUCUUUUUCGUUCGUGAACAUGUGCUGUCCGAACAUGGCAAAAUACGGCGAAGUUCCGGUGCUGCUAUGUAUGGAUGACCUCAGCGACGCUUGUAUGUCCGCAUAUUCUCGAAUUCCUUGGAUACAAACUGUCUUCCGUUGUCCGUGUGGAUUGUUUCCGGAACUCCGAAUUGGGUGAAUAUUCCUUCUUGCAGGAAUUGGAUUACAGCUGUCGAUGUGGCCUUCGGCAUCGCUUUUAGCCACACAAACUUGGUCAAGUGGUCUAAUGCGAUAAAUAGCAUGGUAUUUCCUCGGCGAGACCGCGGAUAUUUUCCUAAGAAAUCCAGUUUUCGCAGGCUGCUACAAAGUCCCGGACUUGAACUACCAUUUUGGGCCAGUAAUACAUCUGCUGAAGUCUCGCCAAGGUCUUUGCCAUACCCCCAUGCAUCGCCGUGUCGCCGCCGUGGGCUUGCUGGAUUAGAGUUGUCGUCAAUGCUUCCGGAAUCCACAGUUUCCAUUCAAAUUCCCCACUUUCCUCUCUAUUGAAGUGUGUCUUCUUGAAUAGAAGUCCUUCUUCUACACGUAAGUCCGGAAAUUUAUCUCUUCCUUGCUCUUCAACCAACUGCAGUCUUUCCAGGUAUUCAGGACUCUCAAAUUCAGUUGUUUCAAACUCGAAGAACUCUACUUCGGCGGUUUCAUUCGGCCGAGAUAGCAUGUCGGCCACGAUGUUGUCUUUCCCUUUCCGAUGUUGUUGAAGUAUUUAUGUU
Molecule: non-coding RNA, 815 nt
Organism: Drosophila suzukii
Lineage: Eukaryota; Metazoa; Arthropoda; Insecta; Diptera; Drosophilidae
Source: RefSeq, a predicted model, not a curated record